UCUAUGUUGUCCCUCUAUGUGCCCCUCUAUGUUGCCCCUCUAUGUUGCCCCUCUAUGUUGUCCCUCUAUGUUGCCCCUCUAUGUUGUCCCUCUAUGUUGUCCCUCUAUGUUGCCCCUCUAUGUUGCACCUCUAUGUUGCACCUCUAUGUUGUCCCUCUGUGUUGUCCCUCUAUGUUGCCCCUCUAUGUUGUCCCUCUAUGUGUCCCUCUAUGUUGUCCCUCUAUGUUGUCCCUCUAUGUUGCCCCUCUAUGUUGCCCCUCUAUGUUGCCCCUCUAUGUUGUCCCUCUAUGUUGCCCCUCUAUGUUGCCCCUCUAUGUUGUCCCUCUAUGUGUCCCUCUAUGUUGCCCCUCUAUGUUGUCCCUCUAUGUUGCCCCUCUAUGUUGCCCCUCUAUGUUGUCCCUCUAUGUUGUCCCUCUAUGUUGCCCCUCUAUGUUGCCCCUCUAUGUUGUCCCUCUAUGUGUCCCUCUAUGUUGCCCCUCUAUGUUGUCCCUCUAUGUUGCCCCUCUAUGUUGUCCCUCUAUGUUGCCCCUCUAUGUUGUCCCUCUAUGUGUCCCUCUAUGUUAACCCCUCCUACCCUCAGUCUAUAGAACCCCUCCUACCCUCAGUCUAUAGAACCCCUCCUACCCUCAGUCUAUAGAACCCCUCCUACCCUCAGUCUACAGAACCCCUCCUACCCUCAGUCUAUAGAACCCCUCCUACCCUCAGUCUACAGAACCCCUCCUACCCUCAGUAUAUAGAAUCCCUCCUACCCUCAGUCUACAGAACCCCUCCUACCCUCAGUCUACAGAACCCCUCCUACCCUCAGUCUACAGAACCCCUCCUACCCUCAGUCUAUAGAACCCCUCCUACCCUCAGUCUACAGAACCCCUCCUACCCUCAGUCUAUAGAACUCCUCCUACCCUCAGUCUACAGAACCCCUCCUACCCUCAGUAUAUAGAAUCCCUCCUACCCUCAGUCUACAGAACCCCCUCCUACCCUCAGUCUACAGAACCCCUCCUACCCUCAGUCUACAGAACCCCUCCUACCCUCAGUCUACAGAACUCCUCCUACCCUCAGUCUACAGAACUCCUCCUACCCUCAGUCUACAGAACCCCUCCUACCCUCAGUCUACAGAACUCCUCCUACCCUCAGUCUACAGAACUCCUCCUACCCUCAGUCUAUAGAACCCCUCCUACCCUCAGUCGACAGAACCCCUCCUACCCUCAGUCUACAGAACUCCUCCUACCCUCAGUCUACAGAAGUCCUCCUACCCUCAGUCUAUAGAACCCCUCCUACCCUCAGUCUACAGAACCCCUCCUACCCUCAGUCUACAGAACUCCUCCUACCCUCAGUCUACAGAACCCCUCCUACCCUCAGUCUAUAGAACCCUCCUACCCUCAGUCUACAGAACCCCUCCUACCCUCAGUCUAUAGAACCCCUCCUACCCUCAGUCUACAGAACUCCUCCUACCCUCAGUCUACAGAACCCCUCCUACCCUCAGUCUAUAGAACCCCUCCUACCCUCAGUCUACAGAACCCCUCCUACCCUCAGUCUACAGAACCCCUCCUACCCUCAGUCUACAGAACCCCUCCUACCCUCAGUAUAUAGAAUCCCUCCUACCCUCAGUCUACAGAACCCCUCCUACCCUCAGUCUACAGAACCCCUCCUACCCUCAGUCUACAGAACCCCUCCUACCCUCAGUCUAUAGAACCCCUCCUACCCUCAGUCUACAGAACCCCUCCUACCCUCAGUCUAUAGAACCCCUCCUACCCUCAGUCUACAGAACCCCUCCUACCCUCAGUCUACAGAACCCCUCCUACCCUCAGUCUACAGAACCCCUCCUACCCUCAGUCUACAGAACCCCUCCUACCCUCAGUCUACAGAACCCCUCCUACCCUCAGUCUACAGAACUCCUCCUACCCUCAGUCUACAGAACUCCUCCUACCCUCAGUCUACAGAACCCCUCCUACCCUCAGUCUACAGAACUCCUCCUACCCUCAGUCUACAGAACUCCUCCUACCCUCAGUCUAUAGAACCCCUCCUACCCUCAGUCGACAGAACCCCUCCUACCCUCAGUCUACAGAACUCCUCCUACCCUCAGUCUACAGAACUCCUCCUACCCUCAGUCUAUAGAACCCCUCCUACCCUCAGUCUACAGAACCCCUCCUACCCUCAGUCUACAGAACUCCUCCUACCCUCAGUCUACAGAACCCCUCCUACCCUCAGUCUACAGAACUCCUACCCUCAGUCUAUAGAACCCCUCCUACCCUCAGUCUAUAGAACCCUCCUACCCCCAGUAUAUAGAACCCCUCCUACCCUCAGUCUACAGGCUUCACAGUCUACCCUCAGUCUACAGAACGCUCCCACCCUCAGCCUACCCUCAGCCUACACAGCAUACAAUCAGUCUUCCCCCACCUAACCUCAGCGUACAGUCCACCCUCAGCUUACACAGCAUACAAUGUCUUCCCUCAGCCUCCGCAUACCCUCAGCCUUCACAGCCUACCCUCAGCAUACCCUCAGCCUGCACAGUCUACCCUCAGCCUUCACAGCCUAUCCUCCGCAUACCCUCAGCCUUCUCAGCCUACCCUCAGCCUUCGCGGGCUACCCUCAGCAAACCCCCAGCCUUCACAGCCUACCCUUAGCCUUCACAGCCUACCCUCAGCCUUCACAGCCUACCCUCAGCCUUCACAGCCUACCCUCAGCCUUCGCGGGCUACCCUCAGCAAACCCCCAGCCUUCACAGCCUACCCUCAGCCUUCACAGCCUACCCUCAGCCUUCACAGCCUACCCUCAGCCUUCACAGCCUACCCUCAGCCUUCACAGCCUACCCUCAGCCUUCACAGUCUACCCUCAGCCUUCACAGCCUACCCUCAGCCUUCACAGUCUACCCUCAGCCUUCACAGCCUACCCUCAGCCUUCACAGUCUACCCUCAGCCAUCACAGUCUACCCUCAGCCAUCACAGUCUACCCUCAGCCUUCACAGUCUACCCUCAGCCUUCACAGCCUACCCUCAGCCUUCACAGUCUACCCUCAGCCUUCACAGCCUACCCUCAGCCUUCACAGUCUACCCUCAGCCUUCACAGCCUACCCUCAGCCUUCACAGUCUACCCUCAGCCUUCACAGCCUACCCUCAGCCUUCACAGUCUACCCUCAGCCUUCACAGCCUACCCUCAGCCUUCACAGUCAACCCUCAGCCUUCACGGUCUACCCUCAGCCU
RNA transcript from Oncorhynchus keta (chum salmon), 3195 nucleotides. RefSeq lists it as uncharacterized. The transcript is spliced from 2 exons. Lineage: Eukaryota; Metazoa; Chordata; Actinopteri; Salmoniformes; Salmonidae. The record is from RefSeq and is a predicted model, not a curated record.